GACGGAGGGCGCAAGCGUUGUUCGGAAUUACUGGGCGUAAAGCGCGCGCAGGCGGGAAGGUAAGUCUGGAGUGAAAUUCCGGGGCUCAACUCCGGAGCUGCUUUGGAUACUGUCUUUCUAGGGACCGGUAGAGGCCGGUGGAAUUCCCGGUGUAGCGGUGGAAUGCGUAGAGAUCCGGAAGAACACCGGUGGCGAAGGCGGCCUGCUGGGCAGUUGCUGACACUGAGGCGCGACAGCGUGGGGAGCAAACAGG
RNAcentral lists this ribosomal RNA (253 nucleotides) under uncultured bacterium. Its description in RNAcentral is "partial 16S ribosomal RNA". It matches the Rfam family "Bacterial small subunit ribosomal RNA", at positions 524 to 776 of the family's 1533-position model. The record is from RNAcentral.